Long non-coding RNA from Pyrgilauda ruficollis (rufous-necked snowfinch), 1678 nucleotides. RefSeq lists it as uncharacterized. Lineage: Eukaryota; Metazoa; Chordata; Aves; Passeriformes; Passeridae. The record is from RefSeq and is a predicted model, not a curated record. The transcript is spliced from 3 exons.
GUCGAAGACUGCUCCUGCGGCCAGUACAAGGCCUGGGCCGCCGGCUCUUUACAACCCCACGCAGUGGGCUCGCCUGCAGCCCCCACCGGCUUGAACAAUAGGGCCCUAAACCGGGCAGGGAGAACCCUGUGCUUACACACAGCCAAGGCCUUUUCUGCUUCUCACACCACCCCACCAGGGAGUAGGCUGGGGGUACACAAGAAGUUGGGAGGAGACAUAGCUGGGACAGCUGACCCCAACUCACCAAAGGGAUAUUCCAGACCAUAUGACAUCAUGUUCAGCAUAUAAAGCUGAGGCUGUGGAGAAGACCACUCCAGAGCAGAUAACCAUCCUGCAGCUCAUGGAGGGCCUCAUGACAGAGCAGGUGGAUGUGCCCUGGAGGAAGCUGCAGCCUCUAAAGAGCGUACCUUUGGAGAGGAGGAAGUUUUCUGUCAUGAACUACAGCCCCUGGGGGACCCACACUGGAGCAGUCCAUUCCCGAAGGACUGUACCCCAUGGAGAGGACACAUGCUGGAGCAGUUAGUGAAGGACUAUCCUGUGGGAGAUAUCUUAUGUUGGAGCAGGGGAAAAAAUGUGAAGAGGAAGGAGUGGCAGAUAAGCUCUUAAGAACUGACUGCAACCUCCCAUUCCACAAGGGGGUUGGAACUAGAUCUCUAAGAUCCCUCCCAACCAAAAUCAUUCUACGAUUCUCUCCCCACCCCUGAAGUUGGGGGGGGGAAGAGGUAGAAAGUUGGAAAUGAAGGAGUGAAAGUGAGCCUGGGAAGAAAGGGGUUGGGGGAGGAAGGUGUUUUAGUUUUGUCUUUGUGUCUCAGCAUCCUACUUUAGUUUUAAUCGUCAAGAAAUGAAUUUGAGUUGUCAGUCUAAGUCAGGGAAAAGGAAAAGAGUUCGUGUUUCAGAAUAGAUGAGGACAGGAAAUAACACUUCUUGGUAGCCUAAACUUUAAUACUCUUUGUUCCCUUUGCUUUAUAUUAGUGGUGAUGAAUAAGAUGAAUGUCUUUCACACAUAUAAAUCAGAUUGAGUAGUUCUGGGUUUUUAAAAUAAAACAAAAGCCCACUUGAAUUGUAUUUGCCUAAAUAAACUUACAAACUUUCAGUUUUGAGAGCUUGGCAUUUAGUGUCUGUUAUUUCUAUUCAUUCUGAAAGGGGCUCUUCAAAUACAUGACCUUCCUUGGACUUGUUUAUUAAGAUAGGGUGGACUGUCAUCUCAGAUGCUUUUCAAAGACCUUGCAGGAAUUAAUCUUUUCUGGUUUUAAUGGGUUAAAUUUUUAUUUUGCUCAAAAUAAUAAUGUUUCCGGUUGGGUUUUAAUUGGGGGAUUGUUAAGGCAGUUUAAUGUAACAAAUGCCCUCUAAAUCAGCAGUGAUAAAUUAUCCUCUCUUUGGUCCUUUAUCAACAUAGACCUUAUACAGGGGUCUAAAUGCUCUUAACAGUGCUUUUGCAGCAUGGCUUGUAUAACUGUCUGUCAUGAAGUUUCUCUUCCUAGUGCCUUGUAUAAAUUGGCUGACUUUUCCUAGUUGUGUGUUCUGAUCAGGGGGACCUUUUUUUAAGAGGUAAGCUAGUGAAGCUAAACCUAAAACUACUGAAAAGAACUAGUGACCCUGUGACAGAACAUUUGUUUUUAAUGUUUGCCAGUGAUGUUUUUCUUGAAGUCUGUCUCUCCUGUCAUCUCCCCAAAGCAUA